RNAcentral lists this long non-coding RNA (1786 nucleotides) under Gallus gallus (chicken). Its description in RNAcentral is "lncRNA (ENSGALG00010005850.1)". Lineage: Eukaryota; Metazoa; Chordata; Aves; Galliformes; Phasianidae. The record is from RNAcentral.
GGAGUUGAAGAAAGCUGUCCUUGCAGCUCAGACCCUCAUUGCUUCAGCACUGAAGACACAUGGAUCUGUGAGCUUCUGUAGCCUACUCCUGGGUCUAGCCACUAUAUGACUCAAAGUUUUCCUUCAAAAAGCGUUGCUCCCACACAAUGGGGCCAAUUUUUGUUCAGGACAAAAGAAAAUAUAAACAGAGCAUGGAUUUGGAAUAUGAGCAAGGCCUCCGAGCCUGAAGAAAUCUUCCGCCGCGGGGAAGGGCUGUGCUAUGCUCACCAUCUGCCAACAGCGUUGGGCCGACCAAGCGCCAGCCAGUACCUCCGCUUGCUUUGCCGGUGCCUCCAGAAGGCUGAUGGCUUAGACUCGUGGUAUGAAUUAACUUCUCAAUUUAGACUCCUUGGAGUCGCUGAGCACCUGAAGUGCUUACAUUGCAGGUGAGGCCGGGCGACUGGCUGCCCUGAGCAGGUGCGCAGGCAAAUCCUCAAGGUGGUAGGGUAUGACAAGUACUGAGCUCACCAGCCAAAGUCCCGGAGAGCAGCUCCACGCAAAAGAGAGUUGGUUACCAGACAGCCACACUGGUCUUCUGAUAGGGCUUGGUGUGCAAACCUCCUAGACGCUCCCCCAGGCACCGAGGCACACGUGCUCUCAUGGAGAAGCUUUAUGGCAGCAAGUCACCCAGGUCUGCACACAUGAAUGUGUGCACUGGGCCGUGACAAGCUGAUUUAUGCCAGAAGAGUUGAUUUAUUAUGGGUGAUAUAAACCAACUGCAGCAAGGGCCUCCUAUCUCCAGGCUCACUGACUGAAGCUCAGAAGCUGCUGGUAAAUGCCCCGUGAAACAUUUAUCUAGAUAAAACAAUGUUCAGCCGUCAGCAGAUGAACUUCAUUUGUGUCCCCUGUCUUGCCAGAUCUUGUACUGAGCUACUGAGAUGCAAGUUGGCCUGUUCAAAGUCUACAGUCAAAUUCUGCCUCUACUGAAACUCCUGAGACUUUGGUCCACUUGGUCUGCUCUGGGAUUUUGCAUUGGCACAACAGCUGAAGAGAUUGACAGGCUGGGAUGAGAAGUGACCCAAGGAAAAGAGAAUAAAUGGAAGCAAUCAACAAUCAAACUUUCAAAGGCUGUUUUUAUAAACAACAUUAAAACGUUGCCUCUUAGUUCUUUGCCUUUACUUAAUGACUAGCAUAGCAAUAACCCCAUUUGCAACUUUUCUGCCUACAAUUUUUCUAUACACAUGGUUCCACCUGUAAGGUAAAAGAAUGUCCCUGCAGCUCUUGUAGUGCCAGAAGAGCCUUCAGCAAAGAACAGGCCAAUGAAAUCACUUGGAAAAAGUCGUGUGGCUGCCCACCAGAGCCGGGGCCCCCAAGGCUGUGCUCAGUAAUGGUGGCGCCAUGGCUGUAUGCACAGCCAGCAUUGCUUCCGAGUCACACAGCCUGGACCUGAGACUGGGAAAUGCAAGAGUGGAGGAGUUCUGAAAAAAAAGAUCCCAUGACGUAAGGAGGCGACACCACAAAGUAGCUCUAAAGAAAAAGAGUGAUGAGGCAGAAGUGAAGGGUCUGGGCCUGGAGAAGCGACAGCCAAGAGCUGCAGAAGGGCUGAGUGCAGCCUGUGAAAGCCGAGCUUUGCUUACUGAAUGCUGGCUAUCUAAAUGUGCCUUUGUCAGCCCUCGGAGCUCCAGAGCAGCUCAUGAUUGCUAAGCCCUGCAACAUAAACAGCCCCAGAGCCAAAUUCACCCUCGACAAAACACAAAUUAAUUUAACCUUAUUCUCCUCGAAAUAAAGUCAGCACUUAUCAGAACCC